This 224-nucleotide long non-coding RNA is filed under the name Elaeis guineensis (African oil palm). Its description in RNAcentral is "long non-coding RNA (EGUI_LNC049021)". Lineage: Eukaryota; Viridiplantae; Streptophyta; Magnoliopsida; Arecales; Arecaceae. The record is from RNAcentral.
AUGAGUUUUCUGAGAGUGUCUCAUAUCUAAAACUUUUUCUCUUACUUCUCAUUUUUGAAAAAGUCUAAAUCAAGAAGAAAGAGGCAUCUGAUAGACCAUCGAAGAAGGAUCAGUAUAGUACUAGCAUACUGUGCUAAUUUUUUAGAUCAGAACUUCUGAUCGUGAUUCGUGGGCUCGUGUGAACGACUCCUAGAGGUCAGACAUAUGUAUGGCUCACAAUAUCA